This is a long non-coding RNA of Astyanax mexicanus (Mexican tetra), 529 nucleotides long. RefSeq lists it as uncharacterized. The transcript is spliced from 4 exons. The record is from RefSeq and is a predicted model, not a curated record. NCBI's taxonomy places the organism in Eukaryota, Metazoa, Chordata, Actinopteri, Characiformes, Acestrorhamphidae.
GUACAGGUGUAAGGCACAGACUGCGGUCUCAGAGCGCCCCCUAGCGCUGCUGUUCAGCAUCACACUGAAGCAAUCAGCGAACACCUGCGGAGAUCAGCAGCAGCUUCAGACCUCAGAGCAGUAAGAAGUCCUUUGACUGUGUGUAUAUCGGGAGCCAUCACAGCCUGAACAUUUGGACCAGAAAGGAGAAAAUGAGAUUUCUAUGUAAAGACUGCUCGAUCAACUGCACACCAAGUCUGCUAAAAUGUCGAGCUACUGACCGAUCUUCAUCUGGAAGUUGUUGAAGGAGUGCUCGUUGAUAUACUUCAUCUGCUCGCGGAGCCUCAUGGCAUAGUCAGCCAGCGCUAAGAUGUGUGAGCGGCCCUCUCGGUCAUACGUGGAGGCGUUCAGGCCCGACGCUGCCAUUUCCAGGACAGUCUAAUUCCCGAGGGCAUUGCGAGAGGUACCUGAAGCUUCCACAGGAAAUCCAGGCGAGCAGUGGACUCCACCUGCUGGGCAUGCAAGUACAGCGCCAGCACAAACACAGUGA